RNAcentral lists this transfer RNA (62 nucleotides) under Dermanyssus gallinae. RNAcentral describes it as "tRNA-Cys". Lineage: Eukaryota; Metazoa; Arthropoda; Arachnida; Mesostigmata; Dermanyssidae. The record is from RNAcentral.
AAUUUAAUAAUUUAUAAUUAAAAUAUCAAAUUGCAAAUUUGAAAAAGUUUAAACUUAAAUUU